RNAcentral lists this ribosomal RNA (495 nucleotides) under uncultured bacterium. Its description in RNAcentral is "partial 16S ribosomal RNA". It matches the Rfam family "Bacterial small subunit ribosomal RNA", at positions 28 to 507 of the family's 1533-position model. The record is from RNAcentral.
GAUGAACGCUGGCGGCGUGCCUAAUACAUGCAAGUAGAACGCUGAAGGAGGAGCUUGCUCUUCUGGAUGAGUUGCGAACGGGUGAGUAACGCGUAGGUAACCUGCCUGGUAGCGGGGGAUAACUAUUGGAAACGAUAGCUAAUACCGCAUGACAACAGUUAUUGCAUGAUAACUGUUUAAAAGGGGCAACUGCUCCACUACCAGAUGGACCUGCGUUGUAUUAGCUAGUUGGUGAGGUAACGGCUCACCAAGGCGACGAUACAUAGCCGACCUGAGAGGGUGAUCGGCCACACUGGGACUGAGACACGGCCCAGACUCCUACGGGAGGCAGCAGUAGGGAAUCUUCGGCAAUGGACGGAAGGCUGACCGAGCAACGCCGCGUGAGUGAAGAAGGUUUUCGGAUCGUAAAGCUCGGUUGUAAGAGAAGAACGAGUGUGAGAGUGGAAAGUUCACACUGUGACGGUAUCUUACGAGAAAGGGACGGCUAACUACGUG